UUGAAAACCAGUUUUCGAAUAGCCGCCAGGGAAGAUACAUGAAAGAGGCGUAAGAGACGUACAAGGAGAGGGAAAAGAGGGGGGAGGAGGAGGAUAUACCAUGCUAGUGCGUGUGUAUAAAAGAAAAACGGGGAAAGGUAGAAUGAGAGAGAGAGAGAUAGAAGAUUGUGAAUUAUCCUUCCGCAACCUCACCUAACUGAACACCACACACAGCAGACGAAUAAUCGUCGGUACCAUGAUGUUACUCGAUGAACGGUGAAUACUACUUCGUCAAUAGGAAGAAUCAUGUUUGUGACAGGAAAAUACGACGAACUAUCAGUUACGCCAAGCUCGAUGACAAAACUUAGCAAGGCAAAGAGCUGGUACACCUUGGCCCCGGCUAACUACUCAUGAGACUCGUUCUUUUAUGCGAGUAUUGUAAAACAAACUUGAAUGAUCAAAUUGGAAAAAAAUAGCUAACUAGAAAGAGAAAACAAGCGUCAACCUAGAAGAGAAUGGUUGCACAUCUUACAAGGAUAUAAUAUGAGAAGAGAGA
Molecule: long non-coding RNA, 535 nt
Organism: Polistes dominula (European paper wasp)
Lineage: Eukaryota; Metazoa; Arthropoda; Insecta; Hymenoptera; Vespidae
Source: RefSeq, a predicted model, not a curated record